Molecule: ribosomal RNA, 519 nt
Filed under: uncultured bacterium
Lineage: Bacteria
Description: bacterial SSU rRNA
Rfam family: Bacterial small subunit ribosomal RNA
Source: RNAcentral
AGUAAAUAGAUACCCUGGUAGUCCACGCCGUAAACGAUGAUUACUCGAUGUUGGCGAUAUACAGUCAGCGUCUAAAGCGAAAGCAUUAAGUAAUCCACCUGGGGAGUACGUUCGCAAGGAUGAAACUCAAAGGAAUUGACGGGGGCCCGCACAAGCGGAGGAGCAUGUGGUUUAAUUCGAUGAUACGCGAGGAACCUUACCUGGGCUAGAACGCUGGACGACCGUCCGGGAAACCGGAUUUCUCUUCGGAGCGGCCAGCGAGGUGCUGCAUGGUUGUCGUCAGCUCGUGCCGUGAGGUGUCGGGUUAAGUCCCAUAACGAGCGCAACCCCUAUCUUUAGUUGCCAUCAGGUCAUGCUGGGGACUCUAGAGAAACUGCCUACGCAAGUAGUGAGGAAGGUGGGGAUGACGUCAAAUCAGCACGGCCCUUACGUCCAGGGCUACACGCGUGCUACAAUGGCCGGUACAGUGGGUCGCUACCUGUGACAGGAUGCUAAUCUCUAAAACCGGUCUCAGUUCGG